CGGUCUUGCUGUCACUUAUAGAUGGAUCCGCGCUGCAUUAGCUAGUUGGUAAGGUAACGGCUUACCAAGGCAACGAUGCAUAGCCGACCUGAGAGGGUGAUCGGCCACACUGGAACUGAGACACGGUCCAGACUCCUACGGGAGGCAGCAGUAGGGAAUCUUCCGCAAUGGGCGAAAGCCUGACGGAGCAACGCCGCGUGAGUGAUGAAGGUCUUCGGAUCGUAAAACUCUGUUAUUAGGGAAGAACAUAUGUGUAAGUAACUGUGCACAUCUUGACGGUACCUAAUCAGAAAGCCACGGCUAACUACGUGCCAGCAGCCGCGGUAAUACGUAGGUGGCAAGCGUUAUCCGGAAUUAUUGGGCGUAAAGCGCGCGUAGGCGGUUUUUUAAGUCUGAUGUGAAAGCCCACGGCUCAACCGUGGAGGGUCAUUGGAAACUGGAAAACUUGAGUGCAGAAGAGGAAAGUGGAAUUCCAUGUGUAGCGGUGAAAUGCGCAGAGAUAUGGAGGAACACCAGUGGCGAAGGCGACUUUCUGGUCUGUAACUGACGCUGAUGUGCGAAAGCGUGGGGAUCAAACAGGAUUAGAUACCCUGGUAGUCCACGCCGUAAACGAUGAGUGCUAAGUGUUAGGGGGUUUCCGCCCCUUAGUGCUGCAGCUAACGCAUUAAGCACUCCGCCUGGGGAGUACGACCGCAAGGUUGAAACUCAAAGGAAUUGACGGGGACCCGCACAAGCGGUGGAGCAUGUGGUUUAAUUCGAAGCAACGCGAAGAACCUUACCAAAUCUUGACAUCCUUUGACAACUCUAGAGAUAGAGCUUUCCCCUUCGGGGGACAAAGUGACAGGUGGUGCAUGGUUGUCGUCAGCUCGUGUCGUGAGAUGUUGGGUUAAGUCCCGCAACGAGCGCAACCCUUAAGCUUAGUUGCCAUCAUUAAGUUGGGCACUCUAAGUUGACUGCCGGUGACAAACCGGAGGAAGGUGGGGAUGACGUCAAAUCAUCAUGCCCCUUAUGAUUUGGGCUACACACGUGCUACAAUGGACAAUACAAAGGGCAGCGAAACCGCGAGGUCAAGCAAAUCCCAUAAAGUUGUUCUCAGUUCGGAUUGUAGUCUGCAACUCGACUACAUGAAGCUGGAAUCGCUAGUAAUCGUAGAUCAGCAUGCUACGGUGAAUACGUUCCCGGGUCUUGUACACACCGCCCGUCACACCACGAGAGUUUGUAACACCCGAAGCCGGUGGAGUAACCUUUUAGGAGCUAGCCGUCGAAG
This 1267-nucleotide ribosomal RNA is filed under the name Staphylococcus aureus. RNAcentral describes it as "bacterial SSU rRNA". It matches the Rfam family "Bacterial small subunit ribosomal RNA", at positions 202 to 1461 of the family's 1533-position model. Lineage: Bacteria; Bacillati; Bacillota; Bacilli; Caryophanales; Staphylococcaceae. The record is from RNAcentral.